This 395-nucleotide RNase P RNA is filed under the name Lactobacillales bacterium. RNAcentral describes it as "RNase P RNA component class B". It matches the Rfam family "Bacterial RNase P class B". From Rfam's summary of the family: Ribonuclease P (RNase P) is a ubiquitous endoribonuclease, found in archaea, bacteria and eukarya as well as chloroplasts and mitochondria. Its best characterised activity is the generation of mature 5'-ends of tRNAs by cleaving the 5'-leader elements of precursor-tRNAs. Lineage: Bacteria; Bacillati; Bacillota; Bacilli; Lactobacillales. The record is from RNAcentral.
UUAUUCGGAUAAUUGCGACUUGUCUAAAAAAGACAGGUUGAGGAAAGUCCAUGCUCGCACAGGCUGAGAUGUCUGUAGUGUUCGUGUUAGCUGAAAAAAUAAGGCUAGGAAUUUGGUUUGUUUUGCAGAUUAGAUUACGGCAGAAAAAAGUACUAAGACUGAAAAGUUAUGUGCAAGUAUUCUUGAAAGUGCCACAGUGACGAAGCAUUUAGAGAAAUUUAAAUGGUGGAACGCGGUAAACCCCUCGAGCGAGCAACCCAAACUUAUGGUAGGGGCAUUCUUGAAAGCGGAAAUGAACGCUAAAAGGAGUAGUUUUUUUAGAACUGCAGAUAGAUAAUUAUCGCUUAUCUUUUUUCUCUUGAAGAAAAGAUAAGUACAGAACAUGGCUUAUAGAG